UGGGGAAUAUUGCACAAUGGGGGAAACCCUGAUGCAGCGACGCCGCGUGAACGAAGAAGGUAUUCGUAUCGUAAAGUUCUGUCCUAUGGGAAGAUAAUGACAGUACCAUAGAAGAAAGCUCCGGCUAAAUACGUGCCAGCAGCCGCGGUAAUACGUAUGGAGCGAGCGUUGUCCGGAAUUAUUGGGCGUAAAGGGUACGCAGGCGGUUUAAUAAGUCGAAUGUUAAAGAUCGGGGCUCAACCCCGCAAAGCAUUGGAAACUGAUAAACUUGAGUAGUGGAGAGGAAAGUGGACUUCCUAGUGUAGUGGUGAAAUACGUAGAUAUUAGGAGGAAUACCAGUAGCGAAGGCGACUUUCUGGACACAAACUGACGCUGAGGUACGAAAGCGUGGGGAGCAAACAGG
RNAcentral lists this ribosomal RNA (403 nucleotides) under bacterium. Its description in RNAcentral is "partial 16S ribosomal RNA". It matches the Rfam family "Bacterial small subunit ribosomal RNA", at positions 355 to 776 of the family's 1533-position model. The record is from RNAcentral.